This 253-nucleotide ribosomal RNA is filed under the name uncultured bacterium. Its description in RNAcentral is "partial 16S ribosomal RNA". It matches the Rfam family "Bacterial small subunit ribosomal RNA", at positions 524 to 776 of the family's 1533-position model. The record is from RNAcentral.
UACGGAGGGGACUAGCGUUGUUCGGAAUUACUGGGCGUAAAGCGCGCGUAGGUGGAUUUGCAAGUCGGGGGUGAAAUCCCGAGGCUCAACCUCGGAACUGCCUUCGAUACUGCAAAUCUCGAGUCCGGAAGAGGUGAGUGGAAUUCCUAGUGUAGAGGUGAAAUUCGUAGAUAUUAGGAAGAACACCAGUGGCGAAGGCGGCUCACUGGUCCGGUACUGACGCUGAGGCGCGAAAGCGUGGGGAGCAAACAGG